This 498-nucleotide ribosomal RNA is filed under the name uncultured bacterium. RNAcentral's name for it is "partial 16S ribosomal RNA". It matches the Rfam family "Bacterial small subunit ribosomal RNA", at positions 30 to 523 of the family's 1533-position model. The record is from RNAcentral.
AUUGAACGCUGGCGGCAUGCCUUACACAUGCAAGUCGAACGGUAACAGGUCUUCGGAUGCUGACGAGUGGCGAACGGGUGAGUAAUACAUCGGAACGUGCCUAGUAGUGGGGGAUAACUACUCGAAAGAGUGGCUAAUACCGCAUGAGAUCUACGGAUGAAAGCAGGGGAUCGCAAGACCUUGUGCUACUAGAGCGGCCGAUGGCAGAUUAGGUAGUUGGUGGGAUAAAAGCUUACCAAGCCGACGAUCUGUAGCUGGUCGGAGAGGACGAUCGGCCACACUGGGACUAAGACACGGCCCAGACUCCUGCGGGAGGCAGCAGUGGGGAAUUUUGGACAAUGGGCGAAAGCCUGAUCCAUCAAUGCCGCGUGCAGGAUGAAGGCCUUCGGGUUGUAAACUGCUUUUGUACGGAACGGAAAGCCCCGGGUUAAUACCCUGGGGUCAUGACGGUACCGUAAGAAUAAGCACCGGCUAACUACGUGCCAGCCGCCGCCGUAA